Molecule: ribosomal RNA, 460 nt
Filed under: uncultured bacterium
Lineage: Bacteria
Description: partial 16S ribosomal RNA
Rfam family: Bacterial small subunit ribosomal RNA
Source: RNAcentral
CCUACGGGAGGCAGCAGUGAGGAAUAUUGGGCAAUGGGCGCGAGCCUGAACCAGCCAAGAAGCGUGAAGGAUGACUGCCCUACGGGUUGUAAACUUCUUUUAUAAAGGAAUAAACUGCGGCACGUGUGCCUUUUUGUAUGUACCUUAUGAAUAAGGAUCGGCUAACUCCGUUCCAGCAGCCGCGGUAAUACGGAGGGUCCGAGCGUUAUCCGGAUUUAUUGGGUUUAAAGGGAGCGUAGAUGGGUUGUUAAGUCAGUUGUGAAAGUUUGCGUCUCAACCGUAGAAUUGCAGUUGAUACUGGCAGGCUUGAGUACAGUUGAGGUAGGCGGAAUUCGUGGUGUAGCGGUGAAAUGCAUAGAUAUCACGAAGAACUCCGAUUGCGAAGGCAGCUUACUAAACUGCAACUGACAUUGAUGCUCGAAAGUGUGGGUAUCAAACAGGAUUAGAUACCCCUGUAGUC